CAGAUCUCUGGAGCCCUUUUCAGCUCAUUAGCAUUUGUGCUUGCCCUGGGGGAAGAAUCCACCAUUCCAGCUCAGGCAAUCAGCUGCCAGCUCCUCCCCUCUGUGAGCAAUGAUCCUUACUUCAGACCUUGCCUGAACAUUCUUCAUAGCACUUGCCUUCUUUUUCCUGAAAUCAAGGGAAGAGUAGAAUUUGCUGGAUCCUUCCUAGAAGAGUCUCUACAAAGAUGUGAUGCAGGAAACCUACUUGGACCUCACUGUUAUAGGCCACACUUGGGAAGACUAUCAUAUUGAAGGACAUUGUCAAAGUUUGAGAAGACAUGAAAGGUAAUCUUCAUGUGCACUCUGAUACGCAUAUGGCUCUGAGGAAAUUUUAAUAUGUUCUGGAAGCUCUAAAGAAAAGCAAGAGUGCCGGGCAGUAGUGGCGGACACCUUUAAUCCCAGCACUUGGGAGGAAGAAGCAACACAGGUAAACCUUAAACUUUAUGUUUCUUCUAAAAAGACAUGGUGAUUAAAAUGACAGAUUUCUGAGUUCAAGACCAGCCUGGUCUACACAGUGAGUUCCAGGACAACCAGGGCUACACAGAGAAACCCUGUCUCAAAAAAAAAAAAAAAAAAAAAAAAAAAAAAAAGAAAAAAAGAAAGAAAGAAAGAAAGAAGAAAAGAAAAGGAGUAUAAAAUAUCAGUCCUUUAAGUGUAACUAUGAUUGUAGUAUUCUUACAAAAUCUUGUAACUCAAUGUCAGUUAUCUGAUUUUUCUAUCAAAGCAUUCCUCCUUUAAAAAGAAAAGACAACAAAACAUUGCCUUAACAGAUAAACUUUAUUUGAUUUGUAGCUCCAUUAGAGCUAUACUGUGGAUCUACCAAUGUGUAUACACUCAUAAUACUUAGAUAUUGCACAUUGAAUAGUGAUGAAUAUGUAUCCAAAAUCUUCUAAUAAGCAAAUAGUCCAUGGUAAACUUGGUGAUAAUCAUAUUCUUGUAGUGAUACUGAUAAGUUUGUUUAGAGUACAGUUUAUGAGAUUCAAGAGUGUUGUCAUUGGAGAAACCUUAAUUCAUAUACUACAUGUCUGAGGAACUAAAAGUCAAACAGUGUGAAUGCAAUGUAGAACCUUUUCAUUUCUUAUUCUUCUUUUAAUAGGUGUAUCAUGUGUUCCAAUCGAUAAAAGCCAUGUGAGCACAGGAAUAUUGAAAGAAGCAAUGUACCUUUUUCCUAUCACAGAAUAAUGAGAUAAUAUGUAGUAUUCUGCCUUUGGAGACAUUCUGAAUAUGAUAGAAGUUUGCAAUUAAUUGAUUUUCUAAUUUUACUGGGAACAUCCCCAAACUCACACUGUAGAAGAUAUUUAUGGGUACUAGGGAUUUGGAUAUUCUUCUGUUUGUCCUGGUCAACAGGCAACAGGCACAUGUGGUAUAAUUUACAUUACAGGAAAAAUUAUGAAUGUAAUUAGUGUUAUAAAUCUCUGAGUUGUUCCAUUUUUCUUCAAAUUGGUAGAAUACAUCAUAUAAAAAUCCCAUAUAAGAAAGGAUGUUGAGCCGGGCAGUGGUGGCGCAUGCCUGUAAUGCCAGCACUUGGGAGGCAGAGGUAGGCAGAUUUCUGAGUUCAAGGUCAGCCUGGUCUACAGAAUGAGUUCCAAGACAGCCAGGGCUCUACAGAGAAACCCUGUCUCAAAAAAAAGAAAAGAAAGAAAGGAUGUUAUGAAUGUCAGUCAUGUAAUAACCAUCACAGGUAUCUUGAAAGAUGCAAAACAACCCAUUAUGAGGGAGAAAACUAUGACCCUAUGAAGUGAUACAACCCAAUGAUCUGAUUCUUCUUUACCAUUAGACCAAAUUGUAAAGUUAAUUCAUACUGACAAAACGAUUGAAUAGGGUAAUAAAUGUAGUAAAGAUUUCACAUGUGCUGGCUAUCAUUGCAGGCAUGUAAGAAGUCACAGAGGAGAGAAACCCUAUGAAUGUACUCAAUGUGGUAAAGCCUUUUCAUUUC
Long non-coding RNA from Mus musculus (house mouse), 1975 nucleotides. RefSeq annotates it as predicted gene, 40989. The transcript has 3 exons. NCBI's taxonomy places the organism in Eukaryota, Metazoa, Chordata, Mammalia, Rodentia, Muridae. The record is from RefSeq and is a predicted model, not a curated record.